UACGUAGGGUGCGAGCGUUGUCCGGAAUUAUUGGGCGUAAAGGGCUCGUAGGCGGUUUGUCGCGUCGGGAGUGAAAUCCACUGGCUUAACUGGUGGCUUGCUUUCGAUACGGGCAGACUGGAGGUAUGCAGGGGAGAACGGAAUUCCUGGUGUAGCGGUGAAAUGCGCAGAUAUCAGGAGGAACACCGGUGGCGAAUGCGGUUCUCUGGGCAGUUACUGACGCUGAGGAGCGAAAGCGUGGGGAGCGAACAGG
Molecule: ribosomal RNA, 253 nt
Filed under: uncultured bacterium
Lineage: Bacteria
Description: partial 16S ribosomal RNA
Rfam family: Bacterial small subunit ribosomal RNA
Source: RNAcentral